Molecule: ribosomal RNA, 253 nt
Filed under: uncultured bacterium
Lineage: Bacteria
Description: partial 16S ribosomal RNA
Rfam family: Bacterial small subunit ribosomal RNA
Source: RNAcentral
UACAGAGGGUGCGAGCGUUAAUCGGAAUUACUGGGCGUAAAGCGCGCGUAGGCGGCCUUGCAAGUCGAGUGUGAAAUCCCCAGGCUCAACCUGGGAACUGCUCUCGAGACUGCAUAGCUAGAGUAUGGGAGAGGGAAGUGGAAUUUCAGGUGUAGCGGUGAAAUGCGUAGAUAUCUGAAGGAACAUCAGUGGCGAAAGCGACUUCCUGGACCAAUACUGACGCUCAUGUGCGAAAGCGUGGGGAGCAAACAGG